This 253-nucleotide ribosomal RNA is filed under the name uncultured bacterium. RNAcentral describes it as "partial 16S ribosomal RNA". It matches the Rfam family "Bacterial small subunit ribosomal RNA", at positions 524 to 776 of the family's 1533-position model. The record is from RNAcentral.
GACGAACCGUGCGAACGUUAUUCGGAAUCACUGGGCUUAAAGGGCGCGUAGGCGGCCGCCUAAGUCAGACGUGAAAUCCCUCGGCUCAACCGGGGAACUGCGUCUGAUACUGGGUGGCUUGAAUUCGGGAGAGGGAUGCGGAAUUCCAGGUGUAGCGGUGAAAUGCGUAGAUAUCUGGAGGAACACCGGUGGCGAAGGCGGCAUCCUGGACCGACAUUGACGCUGAGGCGCGAAAGCCAGGGGAGCAAACGGG